UCGGCUAACACACACACACUCAAUACUCUCUCCCUCCCUCCCUCCCUCUACUUUUCAUCUCUCUAGAAAUCGGCAAGUCGCCGACCAACAGUCCGAAACUCAGCUACGCUCAUCUCCACGGCGUCUGCUCUGCCUCGCCUCCGUCCUCUCCUUGCUUUGCUUCGGCCUUCUCUCCUCCUUCAUCCUCCGUUGAAGAAGAGUCCUAGAGCUUAGAGCUUCAAAGUCCACGCUUAAGCUUAAACCUUGUGAAAUUAUGCCGAUACGGGAUGCAAUCUUUAUGGUAACCAACUUAAGUGUAGCCCGCCUAAGAGAAUAAUAAUGUGUCGCAUAUAAGGUAGUGUCUUUCUCACCACAUCGUUUAAUAUAAUGCUCUUAAUCAAGAUGAUUAUAAAGUAAAUCGACUUGUGCUCUGCAUAUAGAAGAACUGUGUGUUGAUAUUUUCAUCUUUACUACUUGUGUGAGGUACUAGUUCGAUGAUUUCGAUUAUUUAAGUUGUUUCAUCGUUGUUGGUUGAUGGAGUGGUUUCGACUUGUGACAAAGUGGCGAUAUGAGCAAUAUAAUGAUAUUCACAAGGUCGGUUUUUGAUAAUUCAUCAAGUGUUACAGUUGCUAUUGAUUUGCAUUUUGGUGAUCUAUGUAAAUCUUGUGGUUUUGAAUGUUAUGGUGCUAUGGUGAGUACCAAAUCAUGUGCGUUUAAUAAUUCAAGUAAGCCUAACAUUUUGUGUAAUCCUUGGAUUAGUGUGAUCUCAUCCCUUUAGUUUUAGAAAUUACCGAACAUAGAACAUGUUAAUAAAAAGGGAUGCUUGGACGUGAGAUAUCAAGCUUCUUCUAUGGACGAUCUAGCCUCCAUUUCUUAUGGAGGGUGUAGCUUCCAUUAUGUACAUGUCUUACAUGGAUUAUCUAGCCCCCAUUCUGCUAUUAUUAUAUGGACGGUCUAGCUUCCAUUCUGUAUAUAUUCAUGGAAAAUAUCCAGCCUCCAUUUCGAAAUAUCUUAUGGAGGGUCUUGCAUCUAUUUGGAAAAUAAAUAUAUUUCAAUGGUUGAUCUAGCCUCCAUCUCGACUCAUACAGAUGGCCUAGCUUCCAUCUUUGAAUAAUCUGUUAUGAAUAUGAAUUUCUAAAACUCUCAAAGUGGGAGUUUAAGGCUCAUUAAAUGUUUGACUAUAUAUUUCUGGAAAUAUUUAUUGUGUUUGAAGCCUAAUAGCUACUGGUCAAUGUUACAUGUUUAUGAGAACGUGUAAGAAAGUAGUGAUAUUAUGUGAAAUGUUACAUGUUUAUGAGAAUGUGUAAGAAAGUAUAGAUAUUAUGUAAAAAUAUUACUUUUGUGUGGGGACUUUAUGAUCUUAUAAGAAUCUUGGAGUUUUCCUUUUGCAAUUAUGGGUUUCCAUCUUAUAUUAAUGAAGAAAUGCUAAAUGAGAGCUAUUUGAAUACUAAGUGAGUUAAUUGAAGCUCGAUAUGUGAUCAUGUAAAGGUGUGGAUACACAUACACAUGAAAUUAAAUGACGUGUUAAGUUUUCUUUUUGUUGAAUCAGAUUAAUCUUAAUCGUCAUUGCAUAUCAUUUAUAUAUCUUUUAUUUGAGAAGUCUACUUUAUAAUAUGUGAUUAAACUACUGAGCUUUUAAAGCUCACCACUUUUCGGAUUGUUUGUUUUGUAGGUAAAAACUCUCUUACUCUAAGCAGCUGCAUCCCCAUCAAGUCACCAGUCUUACAAUCUUUGGUUAUUACCUGUUAUUGAUGUGUAUUUUUGUUCGAUAUAGGCGGGUUGAAUGUAAAAAUUAUGUUCAAGUCUUGUUGGCAAGUUAUCAACUUUUUAAAAAAAAAAGAGUUUUAUGGGUUUUCUGCCGUCCUUUAAUAAUAUUUGUAUUUUGAAAUUUUGAUAAUCACAACACAAAGUGAAAUCGCUUAUUCAGUUUUUA
This is a long non-coding RNA of Salvia splendens (bonfire salvia), 1912 nucleotides long. RefSeq lists it as uncharacterized. NCBI's taxonomy places the organism in Eukaryota, Viridiplantae, Streptophyta, Magnoliopsida, Lamiales, Lamiaceae. The transcript has 2 exons. The record is from RefSeq and is a predicted model, not a curated record.